GCCUCCGUGGUCCAGUGGUUGAAUGUUGGGCUAACGAUCCGGAGGUCCCGGGUUCGAAUCCCGGUGGGGACA
RNAcentral lists this transfer RNA (72 nucleotides) under Pectinophora gossypiella (pink bollworm). Its description in RNAcentral is "transfer RNA valine (anticodon AAC)". It matches the Rfam family "tRNA". From Rfam's summary of the family: Transfer RNA (tRNA) molecules are approximately 80 nucleotides in length. Their secondary structure includes four short double-helical elements and three loops (D, anti-codon, and T loops). The record is from RNAcentral. Lineage: Eukaryota; Metazoa; Arthropoda; Insecta; Lepidoptera; Gelechiidae.